GCCUAGUUAGCUUAGUUGGUAGUGCGUCUGCCUUGUAAGCACUAGGCUGUGGGUUCAAUUCCUGCCCGGGGUG
Molecule: transfer RNA, 73 nt
Filed under: Diaphorina citri (Asian citrus psyllid)
Lineage: Eukaryota; Metazoa; Arthropoda; Insecta; Hemiptera; Psyllidae
Rfam family: tRNA
About the family: Transfer RNA (tRNA) molecules are approximately 80 nucleotides in length. Their secondary structure includes four short double-helical elements and three loops (D, anti-codon, and T loops).
Source: Rfam by way of RNAcentral